GAUGAACGCUGGCGGCGUGCCUAAUACAUGCAAGUCUAGCGAACGGACGAGAAGCUUGCUUCUCUGAUGUUAGCGGCGGACGGGUGAGUAACACUUUGAUAACCUACCUAUAAGACUGGGAUAACUUCGGGAAACCGUAGCUAAUACCGUAUAAUAUUUUGAACCGCAUGGUUCAAAAGUGAAAGACGGUCUUGCUGUCACUUAUAGAUGGAUCCGCGCUGCAUUAGCUAGUUGGUAAGGUAACGGCUUACCAAGGCAACGAUGCAUAGCCGACCUGAGAGGGUGAUCGGCCACACUGGAACUGAGAAACGGUCCAGACUCCUACGGGAGGCAGCAGUAGGGAAUCUUCCGCAAAGGGCGAAAGCCUGACGGAGCAACGCCGCGUGAGUGAUGAAGGUCUUCGGAUCGUAAAACUCUGUUAUUAGGGAAGAACAGAUGUGUAAGGAACUGUGCACAUCUUGACGGUACCUAAUCAGAAAGCCACGGCUAACUACGUG
This 497-nucleotide ribosomal RNA is filed under the name uncultured bacterium. RNAcentral describes it as "partial 16S ribosomal RNA". It matches the Rfam family "Bacterial small subunit ribosomal RNA", at positions 28 to 507 of the family's 1533-position model. The record is from RNAcentral.